GAUAUAUCCAGAAGACUAAACCUGAAUACAAAAUCUUGUUCCUGAUCAAUAUUCUGAUAAAGUGAUUGAUGGAUUGAUAACCAGCAUCAUCAGAUUGAUCCAAGUCCCUGUUGGAGUGAGUCAGACAUUUCCAUAGAGAACCACUUUGCAUCAGCAGCACCAUGCUCCAGUGCUCUGGGAGACUUUAUAGUCCUGACACUUGAACACUGGAUGACUGACAGCUGUCCUUCAUCACAACAGAAGACACACAAAUCCUCCUCAUCAACAACAUGACUCUGAUCUGCGUCCUCAUCUGGACUCUCCUCUGCUGCUGCUUCACAGAGUCCAGAGGACAGGUCACAGUGACUCAGUCUGGAGCAGUGAGCUCUGCUCUAGGAGGCUCCGUCACCAUCAGCUGUAAGACCAGUCAGGAUGUUUAUGGCUCUAGCUAUUUACACUGGUACCAACAGAAAGAUGGAGGAGUUCCUAAACUGCUCAUUUACUACACUAGCAGCAGAGCAUCAGGGAUUCCAGAUCGUUUUACAGGCAGUGGAUCAAACUCUGACUUCACUCUGACCAUCAGUGGAGUCCAGACUGAAGAUGCAGCAGUUUAUUACUGUCAGAGUUUUCAUAGCAUCAACAGUCAGUGGUUGUUCACACAGUAUGCUGAGCACUGUGGCAAUGGCAGUUCGGACCAACCACCUGCUCCCGCUGCCAACCCAUUCCUACCCACCAGGAUUCGUCUACACCCCCGUCCUCUGUCUACAUCUCUGGAAAUCUCCUGGAAAAUCUCCACCACCUCCCAACCUCCGUCUAAGCCUCCACCGCCGUCACAGCCGCGACCGUCUGACACAGCCCUACAGAAACCCCCCUGUCUCGUCUGGUUCUCUGCCUCCCAGCUUCCUAGUUGUCCAUCGUCAGUCAGUCUCAGUUAUGAGCAGUCUCAGUCUUAG
This is a non-coding RNA of Amphiprion ocellaris (clown anemonefish), 932 nucleotides long. Lineage: Eukaryota; Metazoa; Chordata; Actinopteri; Pomacentridae. The record is from the annotation of a RefSeq genome assembly.